RNAcentral lists this ribosomal RNA (460 nucleotides) under uncultured bacterium. RNAcentral's name for it is "partial 16S ribosomal RNA". It matches the Rfam family "Bacterial small subunit ribosomal RNA", at positions 338 to 795 of the family's 1533-position model. The record is from RNAcentral.
CCUACGGGAGGCAGCAGUGAGGAAUAUUGGUCAAUGGCCGCAAGCCUGAACCAGCCAAGUAGCGUGAAGGAUGAAUGCCCUAAGCGUUGUAAACUUCUUUUAUCAAGGGAUAAAAAGACGCACGCGUGCCUUUUUGAAUGUACUCUAUGAAUAAGCAUCGGCUAACUCCGUGCCAGCAGCCGCGGUAAUACGGAGGAUCCGAGCGUUAUCCGGAUUUAUUGGGUUUAAAGGGUGCGGAGACGGGUAGUUUAGGCGGGUGUGAAAGUUGGGGGCUCAACCGUAAAAUGGCAAUUGAAACUGGGAGUCUUGAGUGCGGUGGAGGUAUGCGGAAUGCGUGGUGUAGCGGUGAAAUGCUUAGAUAUCGCGAAGAACCCCGAUUGCGAAGGCAGCGUACUAUGCGGCCACUGACGCUGAGGCACGAAAGCGUGGGGAUCGAACAGGAUUAGAUACCCCGGUAGUC